This 419-nucleotide ribosomal RNA is filed under the name uncultured bacterium. Its description in RNAcentral is "bacterial SSU rRNA". It matches the Rfam family "Bacterial small subunit ribosomal RNA", at positions 122 to 518 of the family's 1533-position model. The record is from RNAcentral.
UAACCUGCCCAUAAGAGGGGGAGUAACAUCCGGAAACGGGUGGCUAAUACCGCAGUAGUUUUCUUGAUCGCAUGAUCGGGAAAGGAAAGACGGCCUUUGUGCUGUCGCUUAUGGAUGGAACCCGCGGCGUAUUAGUUAGUUGGUGAGGUAACGGCUCACCAAGACGAUGAUACGUAGCCGACCUGAGAGGGUGAUCGGCCACAUUGGGACUGAGACACGGCCCAAACUCCUACGGGAGGCAGCAGUAGGGAAUCUUCCGCAAUGGACGAAAGUCUGACGGAGCAACGGCCGCGUGAGUGAAAAGAAGGUUUUCGGAUCGUAAAACUCUGUUGUCAGAGAAGAACAAGUUGGAGAGUAACUGCUCCAGCCUUGACGGUAUCUGACCAGAAAGCCACGGCUAACUACGUGCCAGCCGCCGC